RNAcentral lists this ribosomal RNA (504 nucleotides) under uncultured bacterium. RNAcentral describes it as "partial 16S ribosomal RNA". It matches the Rfam family "Bacterial small subunit ribosomal RNA", at positions 30 to 523 of the family's 1533-position model. The record is from RNAcentral.
AUUGAACGCUGGCGGCAGGCCUAACACAUGCAAGUCGAGCGGUAGCACAGAGAGCUUGCUCUCGGGUGACGAGCGGCGGACGGGUGAGUAAUGUCUGGGAAACUGCCUGAUGGAGGGGGAUAACUACUGGAAACGGUAGCUAAUACCGCAUAACGUCGCAAGACCAAAGAGGGGGACCUUCGGGCCUCUUGCCAUCAGAUGUGCCCAGAUGGGAUUAGCUAGUAGGUGGGGUAACGGCUCACCUAGGCGACGAUCCCUAGCUGGUCUGAGAGGAUGACCAGCCACACUGGAACUGAGACACGGUCCAGACUCCUACGGGAGGCAGCAGUGGGGAAUAUUGCACAAUGGGCGCAAGCCUGAUGCAGCCAUGCCGCGUGUAUGAAGAAGGCCUUCGGGUCGUAAAGUACUUUCAGCGGGGAGGAAGGCGAUAAGGUUAAUAACCUUGUCGAUUGACGUUACCCGCAGAAGAAGCACCGGCUAACUCCGUGCCAGCAGCCGCCGUAA